UUAAGUGAACAAGGGCAUACGGCGGAUGCCUUGGCGCCAAGAGCCGAUGAAGGACGCGGUAAGCUGCGAAAAGGCAUGGGUAGGAGCAAGCAUCCAGUGAUCCAUGCAUAUCCGAAUGGGGCAACCCACCAUCAGUCAUGUGAUGGUACGAAAGAGGCAGACCUGGGGAACUGAAACAUCUAAGUACCCAGAGGAAAAGUAAUCAAUUGAGAUUCCCUAAGUAGCGGCGAGCGAAAGGGGAAGAGCCCAAACCAUGAAACUUCGGUUUUGUGGGGUUGAGGACCGGCAAAAAGAGGAAACUUCUUAGUCGAAUGGUUUGGAAAGGCCAUGCACAGAAGGUAAAACACCUGUAGGCGAAAAGAAGUCAAUCGGGCUGGUAUCCAGAGUACUGCGAGACACGUGAAACCUUGCAGGAAGCAGGGGGGACCACCCUCCAAGGCAAAAUACUACUUGGCGACCGAUAGCGCAUAGUACCGUGAGGGAAAGGUGAAAAGAACCCCGGGAGGGGAGUGAAAUAGAACCUGAAACCGUAUGUCUACAAGCAGUCGAAGCACCUUAAGAGUGCGACGGCGUGCCUAUUGAAGAAUGAACCGGCGAGUUACAUUAUGUUGCGAGGUUAAGUGGGAGACACGGAGCCGAAGCGAAAGCGAGUCUUAAUAGGGCGACUAGUAACAUGGUGUAGACCCGAAACCGCAGUGAUCUAUCCAUGGUCAGGUUGAAGCGCAGGUAAAAAUGCGUGGAGGACCGAACCCGUGAGUGUUGAAAAACUUUGGGAUGAACCGUGGAUAGGGGUGAAAUGCCAAUCGAACGCGGAGAUAGCUGGUACUCCCCGAAAUAGCUUUAGGGCUAGCCUCAGGGAAGAUUAUAGACGGUAGAGCACUGAUCUGGCAAGGGGGCGUAAAGCCUACCGACCCUAGUCAAACUUCGAAUGGCUAUAAUUAAGACCCUGGGAGUCAGACUGCGAGUGAUAAGACCCGUAGUCAAGAGGGAAACAGCCCAGACCGCCGACUAAGGUCCCCAAUGCUGUACUAAGUGGAAAAGGAUGUAAGACUUCAUAAACAACCAGGAUGUUGGCUUAGAAGCAGCCACCAUUAAAAGAGUGCGUAAUAGCUCACUGGUCGAGAGGCCUUGCGCCGAAGAUGUCCGGGGCUCAAGUACAGAACCGAAGUCGCGGCAGGAUUAUAUAAUUCUGGGUAGGGGAGCGUUGUAUAUCCGACUGAAGGUGUACCGGAAGGAGCGCUGGAGGAUAUACAAGAGAGAAUGCCGGUAUGAGUAGCGAAAAGAACAGUGAGAAUCUGUUCCACCGAAAGCCUAAGGUUUCCUGAGCAACGCUCGUCGACUCAGGGUAAGUCGGGACCUAAGCCGAGGCAAAAAGCAUAGGCGAUGGACAACAGGUUAAUAUUCCUGUACCGCUUCAAAUCGUUUGAGCAAUGGAGUGACACAGAAGGUAGCUUGAGCACGCGAAUGGAUGUGCGUGUCGAAGGUGGUAGGUUGCAGUAUAGGUAAAUCCGUACUGUAUAAGACCGAGAACUGAUAGAUAGACGAUACUUCGGUAAAGUCAAAUUCAAGUGAGCCAUGCUGUCGAGAAAAGCUUCUAGUGAGAGAUGAGGCGCCCGUACCGAAACCGACACAGGUAGGCGGGGAGAGAAUCCUAAGGUGCGCGGGACAACCCUCGUUAAGGAACUCGGCAAAUUGUAUCCGUAACUUAGGGAUAAGGAUAGCCGGAGGAUGUGAAGGGAUUUACUUCUGGAGCGUCAGCCGGUGGCACAAGAGAGGCCCAAGCGACUGUUUAGCACAAACACAGGUGCCUGCAAAAGAGAAAUCUGACGUAUAGGUGCUGACACCUGCCCGGUGCUGGAAGGUUAAGAGGAGGGCUUAGAGGAAACUCGAAGGCUUGAAUUGAAGCCCCAGUAAACGGCGGCCGUAACUAUAACGGUCCUAAGGUAGCGAAAUUCCUUGUCGGGUAAGUUC
Molecule: ribosomal RNA, 1971 nt
Filed under: human gut metagenome
Description: bacterial LSU rRNA
Rfam family: Bacterial large subunit ribosomal RNA
Source: RNAcentral